This 253-nucleotide ribosomal RNA is filed under the name uncultured bacterium. RNAcentral describes it as "partial 16S ribosomal RNA". It matches the Rfam family "Bacterial small subunit ribosomal RNA", at positions 524 to 776 of the family's 1533-position model. The record is from RNAcentral.
UACGUAGGUGACAAGCGUUAUCCGGAAUUACUGGGCGUAAAGAGUGUGUAGGUGGUGUCGUAAGUUUGGUGUGAAAUCUCCCGGCUUAACUGGGAGGGUGCGCCGAAUACUGGCGGGCUUGAGUAUUGGAGAGGAAAGCGGAAUUCCUGGUGUAGCGGUGAAAUGCGUAGAUAUCAGGAGGAACACCGGUGGUGUAGACGGCUUUCUGGACAAUCACUGACGCUGAGGUACGAAAGCGUGGGUAGCAAACAGG